CGUAGGGGGCAAGCGUUGUCUGGAUUUACUGGGUGUAAAGGGUGCUCAGGUGGCUUGGAUAGUCAGUGGUGAAAUCUGAGAGCUUAACUCUCAAACUGCCAUUGAUACUUCUUAGCUUGAGUACGGAAGAGGCUGAUGGAAUUUCAGGUGUAGCAGUGAAAUGCGUAGAUAUCUGAAAGAACACCAGUGGCGAAGGCGGUCAGCUGGUCCGUUACUGACACUAUAGCACGAAAGCGUGGGUAGCAAACAGGAUUAGAUACCCUGGUAGUCCACGCCCUAAACGAUGAAUACUAGACGUUGGGUGUAAAAACUCAGUGUCGCAGCUAACGCAUUAAGUAUUCCACCUGGGGAGUACGAUCGCAAGGUUG
RNAcentral lists this ribosomal RNA (368 nucleotides) under uncultured organism. RNAcentral describes it as "bacterial SSU rRNA". It matches the Rfam family "Bacterial small subunit ribosomal RNA", at positions 526 to 896 of the family's 1533-position model. The record is from RNAcentral.